Molecule: long non-coding RNA, 1325 nt
Filed under: Monodelphis domestica (gray short-tailed opossum)
Lineage: Eukaryota; Metazoa; Chordata; Mammalia; Didelphimorphia; Didelphidae
Description: lncRNA (ENSMODG00000048331.1)
Source: RNAcentral
AUGGACAGACAAACGUCGGACCUGGCCGAGGCCCCGCUAUGGACAGACAAACGUCGGAGCCCCGCUAUAGACAGACAAACGUCGGACCUGGCCAAGGCCCUGCUACAGACAGACAAACGUCGGAGCCCUGCUAUUAUAGACAGACAAACGUCGGACCUGGCCUUACAGACAAACGUCGGACCUGGCCAAGGCCCCGCUAUGGACAGACAAAGGUCGGAGCCCUGCUAUUAUAGACAGACAAACGUCGGACCUGGCCUUACAGACAAACGUCGGACCUGGCCAAGGCCCUGCUACAGACAGACAAAGGUCGGACCUGGCCAAGGCCCCGCUAUGGACAGACAAAGGUCGGAGCCCUGCUAUUAUAGACAGACAAACGUCGGACCUGGCCUUACAGACAAACGUCGGACCUGGCCGAGGCCCCGCUGCGGACAGAUAAGCUUCGGCCCCUGCGCUGGGGCCUGUCCAAGGUCCCUGAUGAGCUUCAGCCCCGAGACCCCAGGUGCAAAAACAACUUUCCAGCAAAGGUUAUUCAUGAAAAGUAUUUCAAGCCCAGCCUGUCAGAAGCAACUUGGAACUCUGGCGGCAGAGGUUCCCCCUGAUGCGGGUAUCAGUUCCACAAUAAAGGGCCUUUUCCGUGUCUGAUUACAUUGCCGGAGGUCUGCCUUGGUGGUGGGUGAAUUCCCAGACCUUAACUCUACCUUGUAGCAAAGGAAGCUGCAGCAGCCAUUUGACCUAGGCACCCCCCCCCAUAAAGGGCGGCCACUUUUCUCUCUCUUCCCUGUGCAGAAGCGCCCACGCAGCCCCCCAUUCCACUCCCUGGUUGGACACCCGGCCAGCCUCCCUCCGAGGGCCCAAGGGCGGCCCCUCCCCCUCCCCCUCUUCAUAUCCCUUUCCUUCCCGCUUCCAAGGCCUCUAGAGGAGAGCUAAGGCAGGGGCGCCCAGCCCGCCAGCAUCUGCGGCCACCUCGUCUCCGGGCCUGGCUCCCCAAGCCCCGCCCCGCCCCCACUUCUACAAGUUUCCGGAAAAUCCCCGCGGGAGCACCGAGAGGCGCGGCCAGCCAAACGACAGCAAUUGCGCUGAGCUCGGCGGCUUCUCCCAGUGCCCGUCUACCCGGGCCCAAGACCCUUCGCGGCCCGAGGUGGGGACAAGGCCAAACAGCCCGCCACCUGGUGCGAAAGAGAGGCUGACAGCCAGCGGAUUCCCUACCCAAAGUGGCCUUAAAUCCGCCUGGGCGUGGCCCCUCCCACCCAGGAAAGUCCCCCGUCUGCCUUCCAAUAAGAAACGCGGACAGAGGAUUAGGCGGGUGAUUUGCUCUAUGAGACGAC